RNAcentral lists this ribosomal RNA (470 nucleotides) under uncultured organism. RNAcentral describes it as "bacterial SSU rRNA". It matches the Rfam family "Bacterial small subunit ribosomal RNA", at positions 28 to 507 of the family's 1533-position model. The record is from RNAcentral.
GACGAACGCUGGCGGCGUGCCUAACACAUGCAAGUCGAGCGGGGUCCAUCCAGUGGCAACACUGGGGAAGACCUAGCGGCGAACGGGUGAGUAACACGUGAGGAACCUGCCCCGAAGACCGGGAUAACCCGAGGAAACUCGAGCUAAUACCGGAUACCCCCACGAGAUCGCAUGGUCUUGUGAGGAAAUGUCUUUUCGCUUCGGGAGGGCCUCGCGGCCUAUCAGCUAGUUGGCGGGGUAACGGCCCACCAAGGCAUCGACGGGUAGCUGGUCUGAGAGGACGAUCAGCCACACUGGGACUGAGACACGGCCCAGACUCCUACGGGAGGCAGCAGUGGGGAAUCUUGCGCAAUGGGCGAAAGCCUGACGCAGCAACGCCGCGUGGGGGACGAAGGCUCUCGGGUUGUAAACCCCUUUCAGGAGGGACGAAAUUGACGGUACCUCCAGAAGAAGCCCCGGCCAACUACGUG